RNAcentral lists this ribosomal RNA (206 nucleotides) under uncultured bacterium. RNAcentral describes it as "partial 16S ribosomal RNA". It matches the Rfam family "Bacterial small subunit ribosomal RNA", at positions 568 to 774 of the family's 1533-position model. The record is from RNAcentral.
UGCGUAGGCGGUGAGGUAAGUCGGAUGUGAAAGCUCCGAGCUCAACUCGGAAAUGGCAUUGGAAACUACCUUGCUAGAGGGUUUGAGGGGGGACUGGAAUACUUGGUGUAGCAGUGAAAUGCGUAGAUAUCAAGUAGAACACCAGUGGCGAAGGCGAGUCCCUGGAAAACUCCUGACACUGAGGCACGAAAGCUAGGGAGCAAACA